UCGCAGACAAAUUAAAAUUUAUUGAGACAGACAAAAAUGCAACUAUUUCAGACUACAAUUAAGCCUUUACAGUUAACCAAAGAUAGCAAAAUGUUCACAUUCCAGUUAACUCCUUAUGGAAAAAGCAUUCAGGAUUUACUAUGCAGUUCUACUUACUAUGAUAGCCUACAUCCAUCUACAGUAGGGACAUCGAACUGAAACACGGAAUAUUUGGAUCUCUCCGUACAGCUCUACACAUUUAACAGGAACGGACAUCAACAGCAUUGAGAAAAGUAUAAAAAGACCAAAAACCACCUACUGUAGAAAGGGCUUUUUUGAUGUAUAGUAACUGUACAAAGCGGUCUAUGUAGUAAAGGAACUUGAAUGGCGUACAGAAGGGACUGCAAUAAAAGCCAACAAAUGUAGGAAGCGAAGCUUGCGCGAUCUGGUGGUCUGUAUCAAGUGGUGACCUUAGAUCUAUGUCACUGGCUGCUUGAGGGGAAAGAUGCUACAAAACUUCUAAUAUCAAAAUAUUCCCAUGCCAGAAAUGUACACUGAGACUACAGGCUAGGCUGGCAAGGCAAAGAGUAGCAUUCACUAACAAACAGUGUUGUUUUAAAUAUAAACUUUACAUUUUCAAUAUAAACUGUAGAAUAAAUAUUAAAUAAACUUCAAAUGGCUUAAAAUAAUGGUCCGGAAUAGCUUAAAAAAAGGCAAAGAAAAGAAGUAUUCUUUGUGUUCACAGCGAAGGCCAUUAACGACCCAAAAAACCCAACUGUGCUGAAAUCUGAACUCAAGGAGAUUUUGAUUUAACCACAGCAGUUAAAAAGACACCUUGAAACAUAAAGCGAUGCCUAACAGUAUUUCAUAGUCUCUAAUACGAAAAGAAAAUGAGAUUAAAAAUUGGUUUGUGUCUCUAAAAGAAUGGGACAUCUCUGUUUCCAUUUUUAGACAAUGAGAAAAUGUUUGGAAGGUCAAUGAUUUGACGCAGCCAGGAAGUUCUGCUUUUGCAAAACAAAACAAAAAAAAAAAGGCAGUAAAGUAAGUCAGAAGUAAAUUAAAUGCUUUACAAAGCUCCCAGCUGUGCGUGUGGGUGUGGGUGUGGGUGUGGGUGCACAGAGGUGUGUGCAUAGAGGAAAUGUGUUGCCCACCCAAGGUAUCUGCCCUCGUACACCAACCUGCCCGGCUGUGCUCGUAGUUUCCCCUGGGGCCACAGCAUGUUUGAGUUUGUGAGUGUGCGAGACAGUGACUGCUUUCAAGUUUGGGAGAAAAAAUAUAAAACCUGUCAACUCUCACUUGGACUAGUCGCAUGCUAGAGAUGACAGGUAGGGCACGAUUAAUGGGGUAAGAAGGGGACGGCAGUGGCACGUCUGCUCAUGCAAACCGGAGGACUGUCCAUAUAUCUUAUGUCCAUGUAUCAUAUAUCCAUAUCUUCAAGGAUUUACUUAGCUAGCUAUUAGUUAACUAUCUUGCAUGUUUUGCAAGUCAUGCAGGAGGGCCACAGCCUUGCACCCUGGUGUUCCCUGCAAGGGCUUGGUUAGACGGGCAACACACUGGUGCAAGGCUGGGCAGGGAGAAGGGAUUUACUGCGUGGCCUUUUGAGCAGUGCACAGGUCCAGGAUAAGCGAUUGUAAAGGAACACAGGAGAGCAGGAAAAAAAAAUGCAUGUACGGGAAGGGCGUCCCUUCACGAGCAGAAGCAUGUUCUGUGAUUGAUUUUUUUUUAGCAGCUCCUCAGUCUUAUGUCAGAGCGAGUGAAAUGGCAAAUCUGUGGCCAGUGGCAGGUCCUGCAUGGGACCGCAGUGAUAGACCCAGAGACUAAGGUUUUAAUUAAUAAAAUGCCAGAAUGAAGCUAGCUGUGAUGGGCAAGAAGCAAGCUACUGGUGAUGCUCAAAAUGUUUCCCCCAGAAACAUACUAUUUAAGGAAAGCGAAAUGCGGGUUGUGUCUGUUCCUUUUGCAAGUCAGCAUAAUUUUCUGUGAAAGGCAAGAAGGAAAAGGGUGUGUGUGUGUGUGUAUGUGUGUGCUGUGUAGCUCACAGUGAUUUUUAAAUAGCUUUUCAAAAGCUAGAGGGAAACCAAAGGGAUUUAAUUUGAAGCAGGGUGGAUUGCCAGCCUUUCACAAAUGACUGUUUAGGUAGCUUUUUGCAGGGAAGGGGUGCAAAACAGCACAUAAAACAAAUUCCUCAUGAUUUUACACAUCCUUCUGCAUUAAUAACAAUUAUGCAGGCUUAGUCUUUGUUUUCAGGUCAUUAAUCUAGACAAAUGGGAAAUGAAAGAGGAGAAAACAAGUGAGUCCCUGCAACUUGUAUCGCCUGAACCAACAGUCCCCUUUCUGUACUGCUUUUCUGCUCGCAUCUGGAGGCGCAGGUCUGACGCGGCGGGAGAGACGGGCUGCAGAGCUCGCAGAGGCUCAGCCGCAUGCAGUGACUACAGCCUUUGUGGGCGAGGACCACAGCCUUUGGGCCGGCGUCCCCUGAAAAGUGACUCCUGCCAAGCGAAAUGGGAUUUGCCAUGGACUGGGUGAGCCACCCACUUUUUACUCCGUGCCGUCCCCGGUUCCAUAGCCAACACUGUAACUCAGAGGCAGAACUCUUCCCCUUGGAGGCGUUUUCUGUGCAAUGAGCACAUUUUUAAUUCUGCAGAAGUACACCACAGGCAAAUCACAGGCACUGCUACAAUACUUAACAUCUGCCUCCCAGGGCAAUAGUGGAAUUCAGGUACCCAGAAAAGCAUCCAAAGCUAUUGGAGCGCCUUUUGCUGUAUUGAUGAAAGGGGUCCUACAUGCUUUCUGUUCCUGAAACCUUCGCACUACAGCCAGGGAGCUCUUCCUCAUGUAAGUGUCCGCACUGAAAAGUUUAUACAAUUAGGUCUCUAGUUAAACAACAGCAGUCAACGUGGCCUCUCCUCCAGCAUCUAACAUCAAGAGCAAUGGAUGAAUCUAACUGCUCAGGGUGCCAGGUGUGCUCGGUCACAUCCACCCAACUUGACUUCUCAAGGAGAAGGAUUAAAUGCCAACCGCUAAUCACGAAACAGGCACGCCAGCGAGGGUGACCACACACUACCCAGCCAGAGCUGCCUGCCUUCUCUGAACAUGCAAGUUCACUAACAUGCAAAAUUACGUAUUAACCACCUAGCAUAGAAAGACUUUUUUUCCCCUUUAAAAAAGUGAAUCAACCAAAUACAUUCCUGGUGUAAGUCAUGGACAUCAAUGGAAUUAAUCUAUGUAGCUUGAGGGUAAAUUUGUUCCUAAAUGUUUUUCUAUAGUAAAAACAAACAAACAACCCCUACUCCCCACAACAAAUGUGCCUGCGUACAUAAAUAUUCCUUUCCUUGGCUCUUCCCACUUCUUCAUGUUACUGAAAACAGCAAAAAUAACAUAUGGUCACCAUAGUACGUUCCUGCAUCAGAGAACGGCAGGGGGAAA
Non-coding RNA from Struthio camelus australis, 3402 nucleotides. NCBI's taxonomy places the organism in Eukaryota, Metazoa, Chordata, Aves, Struthioniformes, Struthionidae. The record is from RefSeq and is a predicted model, not a curated record.